GCCCUGGUAGCUCAGCUGGAUAGAGCAACGGACUUCUAAUCCGUAGGUCUCAGGUUCGAAUCCUGAUCAGGGCGCCA
This 77-nucleotide transfer RNA is filed under the name Kiritimatiellaceae bacterium. Its description in RNAcentral is "tRNA-Arg". It matches the Rfam family "tRNA". From Rfam's summary of the family: Transfer RNA (tRNA) molecules are approximately 80 nucleotides in length. Their secondary structure includes four short double-helical elements and three loops (D, anti-codon, and T loops). Lineage: Bacteria; Pseudomonadati; Kiritimatiellota; Kiritimatiellia; Kiritimatiellales; Kiritimatiellaceae. The record is from RNAcentral.